CAUCAACCCCUUGUAUAGUGUGACAACGUCAGCGUUGUAUACAUCUCCAUCAACCCCAUCCAACACCAACGCACGAAGCACGUUGAGAUCGAUCUCCACUUCGUCCGUGAGCGUGUGGCUGUCGGCGACAUUCGUGUUCAUCAUGUUCCGACGCACUCACAAUUUGUCGACAUCUUCACCAAGGGUCUUCCCUCCUCGCUAUUCUCGGAUUUCCAGUCCAGUUUCAACAUCUGUCGUAGUUAGAGUUUCGACCGUGAGGGGUGUUAGACUCUUGUUUAUAUGUGUGUUACGGGCCUAGAGCCUAAUCCAUUAGGGGUAACUUUUCUGAUGCUAUUUAUGCAACCCAUGAAUUUAGGGUUUCUAAUUCUGCAACACUACAACUACACUAAUAGGCAACUCAAGGAAAACAACCACGUAGUCAAACUUAGUACAUUAGUUUAGCAUGACUAUUUAUAAGUCAAAUAAAAUAGGAAAAAGGCUAUUUUAUGACCACCAACUAUUCGUUGUAUCUGUUUAACUCCCCACAAUAACAACAAGAAAUAAAGAGAAUUGAGAGAAAAAAGUUGGUUGUUCCUUUGAGGGAUUGGGGGUGAUUUUUCGCAAUUGAGAAAAAAUAGGGAAAGGGAAUUGGAAAGGAAAUCUAGAGUUUUUUUGCAUCUAGAGUUCUAGACCCCAUUAUCAUUGGUUAAAGGGAAACAUGUCACUUAUUCUCAAUCUAGUGGAGAUGUUCUUAGGGAGCACCUGGGUGAGUGGCGUCUCAACUCCCAACUUAAGGCUCUACCAAGUACCAACGGAGCAAGUUCUUAGGGAGCACCUGGGUGAGUGGCGUCUCAACUCUCAACUUAAGGCUCUACCAAGUACCAACAGAGCAAGUUCUUAGAGAGCACCUGGGUGACAAAAAACCAAGAAUGGUUCAAUGCAAAAGAAAUGUAAAAUCGAUGUAGGCGAAUUGCUCCCUCUGGCCCAAUAAAGUGUCGUUUUGACAUCAUCAUUGUAAAACACAACUCUAACCAUUGUUUCCUAUCAUAAUAGAUUCAUAUACAUAGAAAAAUUAUAUCGUCUAUGAAGCUUAGUUUGAGAUAAAUUGGAACAUCAUUUUGCAAGUUCAGUCUCAACAGUGAAAGGCAAUAAUAAUCAAAGUUUAGUUGUGCCCAUCCCAAAACGAUACUACAUAGCUAAAGGGUUUACCAUGCGUUUGGGAUCUUACGUGGAUCACAAAUUCAUGUUGCAAAUUAAUAGUUCAAGAACCUACUACCUACAUGACACAUAUGCUGCUAUGGCAUUCAUUUUGAGAUAAAUGGACACAUCAUUUUGUAUGUUCAAACUCAACACUAAAAGGUAUCUAUUAUCAAAGUUUAUAGGUUUGGUUGCACCCAUUCCAAAAUGACAUUCUGUAGCGACUAGUGGGUGUAAACACAGUAGCCAUCUUCAUAGAUCAAUCCAUUAACGUCUCCAAAAUCAAAUCUUAGAGAAAUAAAAGUACCUUCUAGAACGACCUCAAUGGAAUUACUGAAACGACUAGAUCAAAUAGUUUCUCCCAACAAAUAAAUGUGAGAAUAAUGUUUCACUUUUCCUUUUCUUACCACUAUGAGUGUCUACUAAUUUGAUUACUAAUCUCUGAUGCUAUAAUGCAGGAGUUUCUACGUGCAUCACCCCUCCCAUGCACCUCUCCCUGAUCCCUCGCGGGCCAAUGGUAAACCAUGCUUGUUGGCUCUAAACACACAUUCACACUCAUCUAGCCAACAAAACGCACAUGUUUUUGGUAUUUUAUACUCUAUACUCAAGCAGAAUAUACGUAUUUUUUA
RNAcentral lists this long non-coding RNA (1805 nucleotides) under Zea mays. RNAcentral's name for it is "long non-coding RNA (ZMAY_LNC002222)". Lineage: Eukaryota; Viridiplantae; Streptophyta; Magnoliopsida; Poales; Poaceae. The record is from RNAcentral.